UCGCCUGCACUCUGGGAUAAGCCUGGGAAACUGGGUCUAAUACCGGAUAGGACCAUGCUUUAGUGUGUGUGGUGGAAAGUUUUUUCGGUGUAGGAUGAGCCCGCGGCCUAUCAGCUUGUUGGUGGGGUAAUGGCCUACCAAGGCGGCGACGGGUAGCCGGACUGAGAGGUUGGUCGGCCACAUUGGGACUGAGAUACGGCCCAG
RNAcentral lists this ribosomal RNA (204 nucleotides) under uncultured Actinomycetales bacterium. RNAcentral describes it as "partial 16S ribosomal RNA". It matches the Rfam family "Bacterial small subunit ribosomal RNA", at positions 127 to 334 of the family's 1533-position model. Lineage: Bacteria; Bacillati; Actinomycetota; Actinomycetes; Actinomycetales. The record is from RNAcentral.